AGGCUAUAUGGUAUCAGUUAGUUGGUGAGGUAAGAGCUCACCAAGACAAUGACACCUAGCUGGUCUGAGAGGAUGAUCAGCCACACUGGAACUGAGACACGGUCCAGACUCCUACGGGAGGCAGCAGUGGGGAAUAUUGCACAAUGGGGGAAACCCUGAUGCAGCAACGCCGCGUGGAGGAUGACGCAUUUCGGUGUGUAAACUCCUUUUAUAUGGGAAGAUAAUGACGGUACCAUAUGAAUAAGCACCGGCUAACUCCGUGCCAGCAGCCGCGGUAAUACGGAGGGUGCAAGCGUUACUCGGAAUCACUGGGCGUAAAGCGCGCGCAGGCGGUUUGAUAAGUUGGAAGUGAAAUCCACUGGCUAAACCAGUGAACUGCUUCCAAAACUGUCAGACUAGAGUGUGGGAGGGGAAGAUGGAAUUAGUUGUGUAGGGGUAAAAUCCGUAGAGAUAACUAGGAAUACCAAAAGCGAAGGCGAUCUUCUGGAACACUACUGACGCUGAGGCGCGAAAGCAUGGGGAGCAAACAGGAUUAGAUACCCUGGUAGUCCAUGCCCUAAACGAUGAAUGUUAGUCGUUGGUAUGCUCGUCAUAUCAGUGAUGCACUUAACAGAUUAAACAUUCCGCCUGGGGAGUACGGUCGCAAGAUUAAAACUCAAAGGAAUAGACGGGGACCCGCACAAGUGGUGGAGCAUGUGGUUUAAUUCGAAUACGCGAAGAACCUUACCUAGCCUUGACAUUGAUAGAAUCCGUUAGGGAUAAUGGAGUGCCAGUUUACUGGAACUUGAAAACAGGUGCUGCACGGCUGUCGUCAGCUCGUGUCGUGAGAUGUUGGGUUAAGUCCCGCAACGAGCGCAACCCUCGUCACUAGUUACUAACGGUUAGGCCGAGGACUCUAGUGAGACUGCCUUCGCAAGGAGGAGGAAGGUGAGGACGACGUCAAGUCAUCAUGGCCCUUACGGCUAGGGCGACACACGUGCUACAAUGGUUAGGACAAUGAGAGGCAAUACCGCGAGGUGGAGCAAAUCUAUAAACCUAAUCUCAGUUCGGAUUGUAGUCUGCAACUCGACUACAUGAAGCUGGAAUCACUAGUAAUCGUAGAUCAGCCAUGCUACGGUGAAUACGUUCCCGGGUCUUGUACUCACCGCCCGUCACACCAUGGGAGUUGAUUUUACCCGAAGCGGGGAAGCUAAACUGGCUACCCUCCACGGUGGAAUUAGCGACUGGGGUGAAGUC
Molecule: ribosomal RNA, 1236 nt
Filed under: metagenome
Description: bacterial SSU rRNA
Rfam family: Bacterial small subunit ribosomal RNA
Source: RNAcentral